RNAcentral lists this transfer RNA (72 nucleotides) under Fulvivirga sp. RNAcentral describes it as "tRNA-Glu". It matches the Rfam family "tRNA". Rfam says of the family: Transfer RNA (tRNA) molecules are approximately 80 nucleotides in length. Their secondary structure includes four short double-helical elements and three loops (D, anti-codon, and T loops). Further hydrogen bonds mediate the characteristic L-shaped molecular structure. tRNAs have two regions of fundamental functional importance: the anti-codon, which is responsible for specific mRNA codon recognition, and the 3' end, to which the tRNAs corresponding amino acid is attached (by aminoacyl-tRNA synthetases). tRNAs cope with the degeneracy of the genetic code in two manners: having more than one tRNA (with a specific anti-codon) for a particular amino acid; and 'wobble' base-pairing, i.e. permitting non-standard base-pairing at the 3rd anti-codon position. The record is from RNAcentral. Lineage: Bacteria; Pseudomonadati; Bacteroidota; Cytophagia; Cytophagales; Fulvivirgaceae. RNAcentral also lists the same sequence under 1 other name.
GGCCCGUUCGUCUAGGGGUUAGGACACCGGGUUUUCAUCUCGGCAACAGGGGUUCGAUUCCCCUACGGGCUA